This 372-nucleotide ribosomal RNA is filed under the name uncultured organism. RNAcentral's name for it is "partial 16S ribosomal RNA". It matches the Rfam family "Bacterial small subunit ribosomal RNA", at positions 527 to 896 of the family's 1533-position model. The record is from RNAcentral.
GUAGGGUGCGAGCGUUAAUCGGAAUUACUGGGCGUAAAGCGUGCGCAGGCGGGUUCGCUAAGACCGAUGUGAAAUCCCCGGGGCUUAACCUGGGAACUGCAUUGGUGACUGGCGGGCUAGAGUAUGGCAGAGGGGGGUAGAAUUCCACGUGUAGCAGUGAAAUGCGUAGAGAUGUGGAGGAAUACCGAUGGCGAAGGCAGCCCCCUGGGCCAAUACUGACGCUCAUGCACGAAAGCGUGGGGGGCAAACAGGAUUAGAUACCCUGGUAGUCCACGCCCUAAACGAUGUCAACUAGUUGUCGGGUCUUCAUCGACUUGGUAACGUAGCUAACGCGUGAAGUUGACCGCCUGGGGAGUACGGUCGCAAAGAUUA